RNAcentral lists this ribosomal RNA (592 nucleotides) under uncultured bacterium. RNAcentral describes it as "bacterial SSU rRNA". It matches the Rfam family "Bacterial small subunit ribosomal RNA", at positions 338 to 945 of the family's 1533-position model. The record is from RNAcentral.
CCUACGGGAGGCAGCAGUGGGGAAUCUUGCGCAAUGGGCGAAAGCCUGACGCAGCAACGCCGCGUGCGGGAAGAAGGCUUUCGGGCUGUAAACCGCUUUCAGCAGGAACGAAAAUGACGGUACCUGCAGAAGAAGGAGCGGCCAACUAUGUGCCAGCAGCCGCGGUGAUACAUAGGCUUCAAGCGUUGUCCGGAUUUAUUGGGCGUAAAGAGUUCGUAGGCGGUCGAGUAAGUCGGGUGUGAAAAUUCUGGGCUCAACCCAGAGACGCCACCCGAUACUGCUUGACUUGAGUUCGAUAGGGGAGUGGGGAAUUCCUAGUGUAGCGGUGAAAUGCGCAGAUAUUAGGAGGAACACCGGUGGCGAAGGCGCCACUCUGGAUCGAUACUGACGCUGAGGAACGAAAGCAUGGGUAGCAAACAGGAUUAGAUACCCUGGUAGUCCAUGCCGUAAACGGUGGGCACUAGGUGUGGGAUUCUAUUAACGAAUUCCGCGCCGUCGCUAACGCAUUAAGUGCCCCGCCUGGGGGAGGUACGGUCGCAGACUAAACUACAAGAAGUAGACGCGNGAGAGNGCGAGCGACGACGAGGAGAGG